RNAcentral lists this ribosomal RNA (468 nucleotides) under uncultured bacterium. Its description in RNAcentral is "partial 16S ribosomal RNA". It matches the Rfam family "Bacterial small subunit ribosomal RNA", at positions 28 to 507 of the family's 1533-position model. The record is from RNAcentral.
GACGAACGCUGGCGGCGUGCUUAACACAUGCAAGUCGAACGGAAAGGCCCUGCUUUUGUGGGGUGCUCGAGUGGCGAACGGGUGAGUAACACGUGAGUAACCUGCCCUUGACUUUGGGAUAACUUCAGGAAACUGGGGCUACUACCGGAUAGGAGCUCCUGCUGCAUGGUGGGGGUUGGAAAGUUUCGGCGGUUGGGGAUGGACUCGCGGCUUAUCAGCUUGUUGGUGGGGUAGUGGCUUACCAAGGCAUUGACGGGUAGCCGGCCUGAGAGGGUGACCGGCCACAUUGGGACUGAGAUACGGCCCAGACUCCUACGGGAGGCAGCAGUGGGGAAUAUUGCACAAUGGGCGGAAGCCUGAUGCAGCAACGCCGCGUGCGGGAUGACGGCCUUCGGGUUGUAAACCGCUUUCGCCUGUGACGAAGCGUGAGUGACGGUAAUGGGUAAAGAAGCACCGGCUAACUACGUG